AUUGAACGCUGGCGGCAGGCCUAACACAUGCAAGUCGAACGAGUGGCGGACGGGUGAAUUAUGUCUGGGAAACUGCGUGAUGGAGGGGUAUAACUGGUGGAAACGGUAGAAAAUACCGCAUAACAUGGGAUGUGCUCAGAUGGGUUUAGCUAGUAGGUGGGGUAAAGGCUCACCUAGGCGACGCUCCCUAGCUGGUCUGAGAGGAAGACCAGCCACACUGGGACUGAGACACGGCCCAGACUCCUACGGGAGGCAGCAGUGGGGAAUAUUGCACAAUGGGCGCAAGCCUGAUGCAGCCAUGCCGCGUGUAUGAAGAAGGCCUUCGGGUUGUAAAGUACUUUCAGCGGGGAGGCGUUACCCACAGAAGAAGCACCGGCUAACUCCGUGCCAGCAGCCGCGGUAAUUC
Molecule: ribosomal RNA, 406 nt
Filed under: uncultured bacterium
Lineage: Bacteria
Description: partial 16S ribosomal RNA
Rfam family: Bacterial small subunit ribosomal RNA
Source: RNAcentral